UCCGUAUAAGGUUGCCUGCGGAAGGAU
This 27-nucleotide ribosomal RNA is filed under the name Pleurotus eryngii var. ferulae. RNAcentral describes it as "partial 18S ribosomal RNA". Lineage: Eukaryota; Fungi; Basidiomycota; Agaricomycetes; Agaricales; Pleurotaceae. The record is from RNAcentral.